Molecule: ribosomal RNA, 1044 nt
Filed under: human oral metagenome
Description: bacterial LSU rRNA
Rfam family: Bacterial large subunit ribosomal RNA
Source: RNAcentral
CUAAACCGUACUGAAAACCGACACAGGUGGUCAGGUAGAGAAUACUCAGGCGCUUGAGAGAACUCGGGUGAAGGAACUAGGCAAAAUAGCACCGUAACUUCGGGAGAAGGUGCGCCGGCGUAGAUUGUAAGGGCUAGCCCCUGAAGGUUGAACCGGUCGAAGAUACCAGCUGGCUGCAACUGUUUAUUAAAAACACAGCACUCUGCAAACACGAAAGUGGACGUAUAGGGUGUGAUGCCUGCCCGGUGCUGGAAGGUUAAUUGAUGGUGUAAUCGAAAGAGAAGCUCCUGAUCGAAGCCCCAGUAAACGGCGGCCGUAACUAUAACGGUCCUAAGGUAGCGAAAUUCCUUGUCGGGUAAGUUCCGACCUGCACGAAUGGCAUAAUGAUGGCCAGGCUGUCUCCACCCGAGACUCAGUGAAAUUGAAAUCGCCGUGAAGAUGCGGUGUACCCGCGGCUAGACGGAAAGACCCCGUGAACCUUUACUAUAGCUUGACACUGAACAUUGAAUUUUGAUGUGUAGGAUAGGUGGGAGACUUAGAAGUAGUCACGCCAGUGAUUAUGGAGUCGUCCUUGAAAUACCACCCUUUAACGUUUGAUGUUCUAACGAAGAUUACGAAACGUGGUCUCGGACAGUGUCUGGUGGGUAGUUUGACUGGGGCGGUCUCCUCCCAAAGAGUAACGGAGGAGCACGAAGGUUUGCUAAUGACGGUCGGACAUCGUCAGGUUAGUGCAAUGGUAUAAGCAAGCUUAACUGCGAGACAGACAAGUCGAGCAGGUACGAAAGUAGGUCAUAGUGAUCCGGUGGUUCUGAAUGGAAGGGCCAUCGCUCAACGGAUAAAAGGUACUCCGGGGAUAACAGGCUGAUACCGCCCAAGAGUUCAUAUCGACGGCGGUGUUUGGCACCUCGAUGUCGGCUCAUCACAUCCUGGGGCUGAAGUAGGUCCCAAGGGUAUGGCUGUUCGCCAUUUAAAGUGGUACGCGAGCUGGGUUUAGAACGUCGUGAGACAGUUCGGUCCCUAUCUGCCGUGGGCGUUGGAGAAUUG